GUCCAUGCCCUAAACGGUGCACACUAGGUCUUAGCGGAUUCGACCCCACUAGGGCCCAAGCUAACGCGUUAAGUGUGCCGCCUGAGGACUACGGUCGCAAGACUAAAACUCAAAGGAAUUGACGGGGGCCCGCACAAGCGGUGGAGCAUGUGGCUCAAUUCGAUGCAACGCGAAGAACCUUACCAGGCCUUGACAUGCACUAGACCGACUCUGAAAGGAGUCUUCCCUUCGGGGCUGGUGCACAGGUGCUGCAUGGCUGUCGU
RNAcentral lists this ribosomal RNA (263 nucleotides) under uncultured bacterium. RNAcentral's name for it is "partial 16S ribosomal RNA". It matches the Rfam family "Bacterial small subunit ribosomal RNA", at positions 793 to 1055 of the family's 1533-position model. The record is from RNAcentral.